GGGACACGUGGUAUCCUGUCUGAAUAUGGGGGGACCAUCCUCCAAGGCUAAAUACUCCUGACUGACCGAUAGUGAACCAGUACCGUGAGGGAAAGGCGAAAAGAACCCCGGCGAGGGGAGUGAAAAAGAACCUGAAACCGUGUACGUACAAGCAGUGGGAGCACGCUUAGGCGUGUGACUGCGUACCUUUUGUAUAAUGGGUCAGCGACUUAUAUUCUGUAGCAAGGUUAACCGAAUAGGGGAGCCGAAGGGAAACCGAGUCUUAACUGGGCGUUAAGUUGCAGGGUAUAGACCCGAAACCCGGUGAUCUAGCCAUGGGCAGGUUGAAGGUUGGGUAACACUAACUGGAGGACCGAACCGACUAAUGUUGAAAAAUUAGCGGAUGACUUGUGGCUGGGGGUGAAAGGCCAAUCAAACCGGGAGAUAGCUGGUUCUCCCCGAAAGCUAUUUAGGUAGCGCCUCGUGAAUUCAUCUCCGGGGGUAGAGCACUGUUUCGGCAAGGGGGUCAUCCCGACUUACCAACCCGAUGCAAACUGCGAAUACCGGAGAAUGUUAUCACGGGAGACACACGGCGGGUGCUAACGUCCGUCGUGAAGAGGGAAACAACCCAGACCGCCAGCUAAGGUCCCAAAGUCAUGGUUAAGUGGGAAACGAUGUGGGAAGGCCCAGACAGCCAGGAUGUUGGCUUAGAAGCAGCCAUCAUUUAAAGAAAGCGUAAUAGCUCACUGGUCGAGUCGGCCUGCGCGGAAGAUGUAACGGGGCUAAACCAUGCACCGAAGCUGCGGCAGCGACGCUUAUGCGUUGUUGGGUAGGGGAGCGUUCUGUAAGCCUGCGAAGGUGUGCUGUGAGGCAUGCUGGAGGUAUCAGAAGUGCGAAUGCUGACAUAAGUAACGAUAAAGCGGGUGAAAAGCCCGCUCGCCGGAAGACCAAGGGUUCCUGUCCAACGUUAAUCGGGGCAGGGUGAGUCGACCCCUAAGGCGAGGCCGAAAGGCGUAGUCGAUGGGAAACAGGUUAAUAUUCCUGUACUUGGUGUUACUGCGAAGGGGGGACGGAGAAGGCUAUGUUGGCCGGGCGACGGUUGUCCCGGUUUAAGCGUGUAGGCUGGUUUUCCAGGCAAAUCCGGAAAAUCAAGGCUG
This 1136-nucleotide ribosomal RNA is filed under the name Escherichia coli. RNAcentral's name for it is "partial 23S ribosomal RNA". It matches the Rfam family "Bacterial large subunit ribosomal RNA", at positions 419 to 1558 of the family's 2925-position model. The record is from RNAcentral. Lineage: Bacteria; Pseudomonadati; Pseudomonadota; Gammaproteobacteria; Enterobacterales; Enterobacteriaceae.